RNAcentral lists this ribosomal RNA (468 nucleotides) under uncultured bacterium. RNAcentral describes it as "partial 16S ribosomal RNA". It matches the Rfam family "Bacterial small subunit ribosomal RNA", at positions 28 to 507 of the family's 1533-position model. The record is from RNAcentral.
GACGAACGCUGGCGGCGUGCUUAACACAUGCAAGUCGAACGGAAAGACCCUGCUUUUGUGGGGUGCUCGAGUGGCGAACGGGUGAGUAACACGUGAGUAACCUGCCCUUGACUUUGGGAGAACUUCAGGAAACUGGGGCUAAUCCCGGAUAGGAGCUCCUGCUGCAUGGUGGGGGUUGGAACGUUUCGGCGGUUGGGGAUGGACUCGCGGCUGAUCAGCUUGCUGGUGGGGGAGUGGCAUACCAAGGCUUUGACGGGUAGCCGGCCUGAGAGGGUGACCGGCCACAUUGGGACUGAGGUACGGCCCAGAGUCCUACAGGAGGCAGCAGUGGGGAGUAUGGCACAAUGGGCGGAAGCCUGAUGCAGCAACGUCGCGUGCGGGAUGACGGCCUUCGGGUUGUAAACCGCUUUCGCCUGUGACGACGCGGGAGUGACGGUAAUGGGUGAAGAAGCACCGGCUAACUACGUG